This 281-nucleotide ribosomal RNA is filed under the name uncultured Staphylococcus sp. Its description in RNAcentral is "partial 16S ribosomal RNA". It matches the Rfam family "Bacterial small subunit ribosomal RNA", at positions 81 to 355 of the family's 1533-position model. The record is from RNAcentral. Lineage: Bacteria; Bacillati; Bacillota; Bacilli; Caryophanales; Staphylococcaceae.
CUCCUUUGACGUUAGCGGCGGACGGGUGAGUAACACGUGGGUAACCUACCUAUAAGACUGGGAUAACUUCGGGAAACCGGAGCUAAUACCGGAUAAUAUUUCGAACCGCAUGGUUCGAUAGUGAAAGGUGGUUUUGCUAUCACUUAUAGAUGGACCCGCGCCGUAUUAGCUAGUUGGUAAGGUAACGGCUUACCAAGGCGACGAUACGUAGCCGACCUAAGAGGGUGAUCGGCCACACUGGAACUGAGACACGGUCCAGACUCCUACGGGAGGCAGCAGUC